GGGGUCUUGCUCUUGUUGAGACUGGUCUUCGACUCCUGCUCUCAAGUGAUUCUCCCGCCUUGGCCUCCUGGAGUGCUAGGAUUACAGGUCAGAUUGAAGGAUGCCUGAGACAAGCAAUAAAUUCUUCCCUUCUGCCACUUUGGGAGGACAAAUCAGCCAUUGAAUCACCUCUUGUUUGUUCAGAUAGACUCAAUCAUCAUUUGACUUGCUUUGAGGGAAUGAUGCAUAGUUGACAAGAAGUUUCAACUCUGAUCAAAUCCUUGCCUAGUGAACAUGACAGGUAUUUCAAGAGGACUUCCUCACACAACUGUCGUCACCACUGUAUCUUCCUAGGGCAGCAGUACAUGCUACUUUGGGAAAAGAUUGCUAUUGGUUAUUUGCUGUAGUGAAGGUUACCAUAGUCAACAUUCUUAACAACCGUCCCUCUGACCAGGACUACGGUAACAGGUAGGCAGCACUAAAUUUCAUGAAGCCUUGUGCAAUGGUCUAAAUGUUUGUGUUAUCCUAUAAUUCAUAUAUUGAAACCUACACCAAUGUGAUAGUACUAAAAGGUGGAGCCUUUGGGGAGUGAUUAGGUCACGAAGGCAGACCCCUCAUAAAUAGGAUUAGUGCCCUUAUAAAAGAGGCCCUAGAAAGUUGCUUUGCCUCUUUCACCACAUGAGGAAACAGCUACAAGGCACUAUCUAUGAAUCAGAAAGUGGGCUCUCACCAGCACUUUCUAGUUGUACACACAAUGUACAGUAUUCAGUAUUGUCAUAGACGAUGACAUACACACCUAGGAAGAUACAGGGGUGAUAAUGGUUGUGGAAAGAAGUCCUGAAAUACGUGUCAUGUUCACUAGGAAAGGAUUUGAUCAGAGUCGAAACCUCCUGUCAACUAUACAUCAUUUCUAAAAAGUUAGGCCCCUUUUUCUAGGGGACUAUUUUGUAUAACCACAGUGGAUUUCUGGCACUUAAGGUUGACCUUAUGUUAGGUAGGGAUGGAGGGGUAUACAGGUGGCAGGGCAGGCCAUAGGAGGAUGUGGUCAAAGGCUGAGGGUUGGGACCAGUAAAAACAGAGAAAAGAAACCACAACAGCAAGAACUUGAGGUUAGGGACUUUUCCCAGUUGGGAGCAUGCAUGGAAGCUAGGAGUUUAUGACCAAAGGUAAUUUUUCCCUCAUUAACAUAGUAAAACUCAUACCCCCUAGCACUAUGACAGUUCUAGAGCUAGCCAUACAAAGGCAAAAAAUGGGGAGGGUACAUGAUUCCGGGAAUCUCUACCCAUUUCCCCACAAAGACAUGAAUAUUCCACCUCCAGAUUAACAUAUUGAUUAUCCUAAAGGACAGACCCUAACCCAGGGAUGACACUGUUCUUUAUUGGAGCAGUCUGCUCUCUACUGACUUUGAGAGUGUGCUAUAUUUUCUAUAUUCUGUCUUUAAAGUCAGGAUCUUCUCCACUCAUGGAGACAGACCUGUCCCUCCUCAAGGAUGCACUUUUGCUUUGUAUCCUUCGCUGUGCUCAAUAAAAACUGCUCAUGUGGAAGUGCUUUGUGUCUGUCAUCACUCCAUUGCACUGGUCUUGCUCGCAGUUAUUCCAAGCAAGGAGCCAAAGGACAACUCUCCUGAGCCACACCUGACACUUAACAUGGAAACAGAGUUGAACACCUUUGUGGUGUGAUUUAAAGAGAAUGGAGAACUUGGCUUUCCAUAAACAUUAGUAAAUGUUUAUUCUUUACUUUUUUAAACUUAUAUCAGAUCUCAUUAGAGAUUAAUAUUUUUUUAACUUUGUAUUUUAAAAUAAUUAUAGACUCAUAGGAAGUUAUAAAAAACAUAGUAAAGAGAGUCCAUGUUCUCUUCACCCGGCUUCCUCUAAUGUUAAUAUCUUAAAAUGUAGUAGUACCUUAUUAAAACCAGGAAGUUGAUGUCACAAUAUUGUUAACUAGACCAGUGGUCCCCAACCUUUUUGGCGCCAGGGACUGGUUUCAUGGAAGAUGACAGUUUUUCCACGGACAGGGUGCAUGUGUGCAACUGCUGGGGCGGGGGAAGUCGGAGUUCAGGCAGUGAUGCAAGUGAUGGAGAGCAGCUGUAAAUAUAGACGAAGCUUUGCCCCCUCACCUGCUGCUUAUUUCCUGCUUGUGUGGCCCCCUAGUUCCAAAGUUUCAAGGAAGACAAUUUUUCUGUCGGGGGGAAAAGGGGUUGUGGCAGAGCUCUGUGGCCCAGUCCCUAAUAGGCCAUGGACUGGUAUCAACCCAUGGCCUGGUGGGGCUUGGGGACCACAGAAUUAGACAACAAAGCUGUGUUCAGAUUUUACUGUUUUGUACAUAUACUCAUGUACGUGUGUGUUUUAUGUAAUUUUAUCUUCAGGUUUGUUCUUUUUGUUUAAGACUGUCAUCACUAUUGCAUACAACCUCUCCUGCCUUGGGAGAGGUAGUAUGUUGUGUGACGGAAAGAAUGUAUGAGUUUUGAAAUGGGACAAACCUAAGUAUGAAGCCUAGCUAUGUUAUUUUCUAGCUGUGUGGCUAUGAUUUUGGCCAGAUCACAUCAUCUCUCUGGGCCUAAGUUAUCCCUUCUGUGAAAUGGGGAUAAUAGUUCCUAAUUCACAUGGCUUUUAUGAGGAUUAAAUGGGAUACUACGUGUAAAGUGCCUGGCCUACCAAAUGCUAUUUCCCUUCUUUAUUUCUCCUUCCUUUAGGGAGGUAACAUUUUAAGCUGUUUUCAGGUCUUUAUAUUUCUGAUUCUAUCCUGAGAAGAGCAAGUUUUAAUGGGAGGAGGUGAGAAGCCCAUGAAAGCAUUGUGUAUCCAAAUGGAAUGUUGAGAGAUCAAAGUUUCCAGAAGAGGAAGGAUAGUGGAACCAAAGAAUGACUUCACCAAUUCUAUGAUUUUUCCUGGCGCUAGUCCUGUUCUAGGUGGUGUGAGUUGUUCUUGUGUAAAAUGAAUGUUUAUAACAUUUUUGCCCUGUACUUUUACUUUUGGCUUGAAUUAAUAAUCUAAAAUAUUUAAUAAACAUCGUAGUCAUCACUUCAUCUAUUCUCAUCGAGAAAUUCUGCUCCUGCCAUUACAAUGAAUUCAGGAUCACUGUGCUAAGGGGAAAUCGGAGCAGUCGAUGAUGUAAAAGUAAUACUUUUCUACAGAUUUGACUAUUAAAUAAUCACUAAAGGAUUUAGAGACUAUCCUGGGUAUAUAACAAGGGUGUUUCUGUUUCUUUUUUCCCUAGGUGUAGAGAGUGACCACAAAGAU
Microcebus murinus (gray mouse lemur) is the source of this 3216-nucleotide non-coding RNA. The record is from RefSeq and is a predicted model, not a curated record. NCBI's taxonomy places the organism in Eukaryota, Metazoa, Chordata, Mammalia, Primates, Cheirogaleidae.